GCAGCCGCGGUAAUACGUAGGUGGCAAGCGUUGUCCGGAUUUACUGGGUGUAAAGGGCGUGCAGCCGGGUCUGCAAGUCAGAUGUGAAAUCCACGGGCUCAACUCGUGAACUGCAUUUGAAACUGUAGAUCUUGAGUGUCGGAGAGGUAAUCGGAAUUCCUUGUGUAGCGGUGAAAUGCGUAGAUAUAAGGAAGAACACCAGUGGCGAAGGCGGAUUACUGGACGAUAACUGACGGUGAGGCGCGAAAGCGUGGGGAGCAAACAGGAUUAGAUACCCC
This 278-nucleotide ribosomal RNA is filed under the name uncultured Bacteroidales bacterium. RNAcentral describes it as "partial 16S ribosomal RNA". It matches the Rfam family "Bacterial small subunit ribosomal RNA", at positions 511 to 788 of the family's 1533-position model. The record is from RNAcentral. Lineage: Bacteria; Pseudomonadati; Bacteroidota; Bacteroidia; Bacteroidales.